UACAAUCCUCUCUUCUCUCUCUCAAUUUGAAUUUCACGUUUUUCAUCUUCAAAGAAAAAGAAGAAGGGGCGGCGACUGUGAGCAUCUUCACCACCCGUCGUCGCCGCCGCCGCCGCAACUCCGCCGUCGCCGUCGAAGCCCAGCCAAGCCCGCCGUCGAAGCCCAGCCAAGCCCGCCGUCGCGCGCUGCGAUUUCAAGCACGCUGCGAUUUCCAGCAGCGCGAUUUCCAGCCAAUCUCUUCCUCUCUCUCUCUCUUUCUCAAAAUUGUAAUUUACAGCCAUAGCUCGCCGAAAAAAUUUUUGCUCGCCCAACUCCGUCGUCUGACCCGUCGCCGUCGAAGCGCAUCCAUGCUUCGUGUUGUUGCUCCGUCGUUGUCGAAGCCCAGCUCA
Molecule: long non-coding RNA, 389 nt
Filed under: Salvia miltiorrhiza (redroot sage)
Lineage: Eukaryota; Viridiplantae; Streptophyta; Magnoliopsida; Lamiales; Lamiaceae
Description: long non-coding RNA (SMIL_LNC010197)
Source: RNAcentral